UUAAAUUGAAGAGUUUGAUCAUGGCUCAGAUUGAACGCUGGCGGCAGGCCUAACACAUGCAAGUCGAAAGGUAACAGGAAGAAGUUUGCUUCUUUG
RNAcentral lists this ribosomal RNA (96 nucleotides) under Escherichia coli O145:NM str. 2010C-3521. RNAcentral's name for it is "partial 16S ribosomal RNA". It matches the Rfam family "Bacterial small subunit ribosomal RNA", at positions 1 to 90 of the family's 1533-position model. Lineage: Bacteria; Pseudomonadati; Pseudomonadota; Gammaproteobacteria; Enterobacterales; Enterobacteriaceae. The record is from RNAcentral.